Molecule: long non-coding RNA, 8922 nt
Filed under: Solanum tuberosum (potato)
Lineage: Eukaryota; Viridiplantae; Streptophyta; Magnoliopsida; Solanales; Solanaceae
Description: long non-coding RNA (STUB_LNC011061)
Source: RNAcentral
UGGCUAAUUGCGCCUUAAUGCUUUUGUCGCGUUUAAACAAGGAUAAUGAUUUUGAAUGUAAGACUUGUAAUAAACAGUUUCCAUCUUUUCAGGCUCUUGGUGGACACCGUGCAAGUCAUAAUAAACGGUCAAGAUUACUAGGAGAGUUUCUUGUUCAAACCAACACAAAGAAUAAGAUGCAUAAAUGUUCUAUUUGUGGUAUGGAGUUUUCUUUGGGUCAAGCACUAGGCGGACACAUGAGGCGUCACCGUGAUAAAAUUAAUAAAAUUACACCUGAAAAGACUAUGAUUCCAAUUUUGAAGAAGUCAAAUAGCAGCAAGAGGAUUAAUAUUUUUGGGUUGAACUUAAACAUAACACCUGAUGAUGAUGAUGACAAUGUUGAUGAUUUGAAGUUAUGGCCCAUGGAAGAGGCUCCAUCGCCCGUCUUGCGAAUAUUUAUUUAAGUAAAAAAGCUUAUAAUUUGUUAUUAGCCUUUAAUUAGGAUUAGGAGAAUUAAUUAGCUACAUGCAGUUAUUUGUGGAAUUCUUUCUAUUCAUUUAGUCCAAAGGCAAAUUCAUAUAUAUAUAAACAUCAUAGUUGUCAGGGGUGUAUAAAAUCGAACCAAACCACAAAUCGAAUUUAACCGAACAAAAAACCUGACUAGUGGUUUGGUAUUGGAAAAAAAAACCCCGACUAUAUUUGAGUUGGUUUGGUUUUAACUAAAAAAAAUCAACCCGAGACCAAACCAACCCGGCAUUAUAUAUGUAAUUUUAAAAUUUUAUUUUAUACAUAAAAAUAUUUACAUUGAUAUAAUUAUAAAAUAUUUCUUAUACUAUUUCAUAGUUUUUAUCUUUCAUAUAUUAUUUCAAGUUUAAAACUUAGAAUUCGGAAUGGUCCAAUAAAGACUAUAGUUCAUAGAAAUCAAAAUCAAAUUAAUACUAAUGCAAAAAGAAAAUCAAUUCAACACUAAGAAUGACAAUAAUAUUGAAUAUUUGUUCUUUAGUUUUACAUUGGUUUAGACAAUUAAAAUACAUAAUCUAAUUUUAAUUUUCCUUAAAUAUUUAGUAAUGUAACUAAUACUUAUUAAACUUAUUUUAGCAUGAUUUAGUACUUUUAAAUUAUGAUCAUUUUCAUUAUGACUUGGAAAUAUUUAUUUAUAUGAUGAUUUCAUUAUUAUUUUGUAUUGAAUAUUUUAGUGUCAUCACUCAUCUCAUAUGUUGUGUUAUUUUCUUAAGAAACACCUUAAAUAAUUGUAUUUUGGUUGGACUAAAGAAAUAUUUGGAGCACAAGUUAAUUAUAUGUUUGUAUGCAAACUUUACCGAAAAAAUCCAAAAAUCUGAAUAAAUCUAAGGUUUAUUAGUUUGGUUUGAUUUAUAAAUUAAAAAAUUCGACACAAUGGUUGGUAUUUGAAAAACCCAAACCAACCCGAAGGUUGAAAAACCCGAAAAAAUCCAAAUUUUAUUAGUUUGGUUUGGUUUAUAAAUUUAAAUUUUUUAUACAAAUAGUUUGGUUUGAUAUUUAGAAAAACCCGAACCAACCCUGCCAUGUACACCCCUAGUCAUAAUAAUCACAUUCUACCACUAACUAAUUUAAUGAGAACAAAGAAAACAUUAUAUGCCAUCAACAUGUCAAGCCAAAUGCUACACAAUUUGAGAGGAUUGUAACAUAUUGUGAUGACUUAAUAUUAUAUUAAUUAUAAUAUUAAAAUGUAAAGGCACCAACAAAAAAUAUUUACACUUAAAAAGUAAAUUGCCUUUUUUCACCAAAACCACUUAAUUAUGUUUUCUAACAUAAAACCCUCAAACUUUACUUUUACUAAUACACGUCAGAAAAUUCAACUUAUGGGUAAUACUUUUUUUCUUUUGUAUUUUUAAUAUAAUAAAUACAAAUAAUUUUACGAACGGAUUAAUUGUUACUACUACUUGCAUCCAAAGUAAUAAUUUUGUCAUAAUCUUUCUAAAUUCAUUCACGUUUUUAGUAUUUUAAUUUUUGCGCUUGAAUUUUGAUUGGAUCGGUUCUAUUUAAUUGGAUUAGUAUUUAUACGACUAAAAAUAAAAUAAAGAAGUAGUAAAAGAUUAGUAUCGGUCGAGUCGAUUGUUUAAAAUUAAAUUCAUAUUUAUUAAAUAAAAAUAAAAAAUAUCAUAAAGAGUUUCCAUAGGAAGUUGAAUUUUCCGUCAUGUGUGAUUUUUGUGUUAGUUGGGACAAUGUCUUAUAAUUUUUGUGUUUGAAAACAUAAUUAAGUGAUUUUGGUGGGGAAAAAAUCAUAAUUAUAUGACCAUUAAUGAAGUUUAUCCCUACUUUUAAUUAAUUAAAAGUUUAGAAUUUAAACUCUAAAAGUUAAAGAAAUUAUAUCCUAAUUUUUUUCUUCAAUAUAUAGAUUUUACACGGCAUGAAUCUGAAUUAAUUUCUUUACGUUCAAAACAAUCUCAUGAAAACCAGAAUACAAAUAAAAAGUUAGUUGCAUCAUAUAUCCAACCGCCAAACAAAAUUUGACUCCCUCACAAUUUAUGUCAUUUUCCUUCAUGAAUCUUUGACUCCUACAAAACGAUUUGUGAAAGUAAUACUAGUAGCACUAAACCAUGUUGCCUUGUUUUUUUUCUUCCAACUUGUUUACAAACACAUUGCUCUCAUAACCCUCACCAACCAAGAAACUAAUAUUCGUUUCGUCCCAUUUUAGGUGACAUCGUCUUAUUUGACAUAAUAUUUAAUAUAUAUAUAUAUUUUUUUAUUUUAUUUUUUUAUUAUUUUUUUUAGACUUGUAGUUUAAAACAAAUUUUCCGUUUUUGCGUUGUUGUAAAUCAUUUCAUUAAAGGUACAAAUAAGUUAAAUUAUUUCGAGCUAUAAUAAGAUAACAUUCUUUUCAAAACAGAUUAAAAAGAAAUAACAUAAAUAGGAAUAGUUUAUUGUGAAGUAUAAAGUGUAACAAUUUUAGGAUAAAAUAUAGGAUUACUUUAUCCCAUGUUUGAUUGAAAGUAUUAGGUAUUAUUUAUCCCAUCAUUUUAGUCAUAAUAAUUGAAUAAGUAAUAUACAUGACCGAAUAACUUGUUCCAAUCAAACGACCCUAAUAGUAAUAUAAAGUUAGUCUUAAAAAAGCACAUUGUCCUUUUCACGACGCUACGUAUGCACGUGUUUUUCUUUUUUCAACCCUUUAUGUCAUUUUCCUUCAUGAAUCUUUGACUCCUACAAAACGAUUUGUGAAAGUAAUACUAGUAGCACUAAACCAUGUUGCCUUGUUUUUUCUCUUCCAACUUGUUUACAAACACAUUGCUCUCAUAACCCUCACCAACCAAGAAACUAAUAUUCGUUUCGUCCCAUUUUAUGUGACAUCGUCUUAUUUGACAUAAUAUUUAAUAUAUAUAUAUUUAUUUAUUUUUUUAUUUUUUUAUUUUUUUUAAACUUGUAGUUUAAAACAAAUUUUCCGUAUUUGCGUUGUUGUAAAUCAUUUCAUUAAAGGUACAAAUAAGUUAAAUUAUUUCGAGCUAUAAUAAGAUAACAUUCUUUUCAAAACAGAUUAAAAAGAAAUAACAUAAAUAGGAAUAGUUUAUUGUGAGGUAUAAAGUGUAACAAUUUUAGGAUAAAAUAUAGGAUUACUUUAUCCCAUGUUUAAUUGAAAGUAUUAGUUAUUAUUUAUCCCAUCAUUUUAGUCAUAAUAAUUGAAUAAGUAAUAUACAUGACGGAAUAACUUGUUCCAAUCAAACGACCCUAAUAGUGAUAUAAAAUUAGUCUUAAAAAAGCACAUUGUCCUUUUCACGACGCUACGUAUGCACGUGUUUUUCUUUUUUCAACCCUUUAUUUGGUCAACCAUACACAUAUGAAGGCAGUUGGAAGUGUUCUAGAAACCUCAAAGAAGCCAACAUUAUUUUACUUUUCUUUGACUCACUUAACCAACAAGGAAAAUUCAGACACACGCAAAAAAGUCAAGACACAAACUUAUAUAUAUGUGAGGCAACACCAUCCAAAGUGUAUCAUAUUCUUAAACUUCUAAAUUCAAAUCUUUCUUUCAAACUUCUAAAUUUGAUAAUACAAUUUGUAAAAAUCUUCAAUAAUAUGACAUCUAUGAAAAGAAGCAGAGAAGACAAUAUGCAAGUUGAAGUAGAGGCCAUGGCUAAUUGCACCUUAAUGCUUUUGUCUCGUUUCAACAACACUUCUUCAUCAUCAGAUCAUCAUCACAUUAAUGAUUUUGAAUGCAAGACUUGCAAUAAACGCUUCCCGUCUUUUCAAGCUUUAGGCGGUCAUCGUGCAAGCCAUAAUAAAAAGCCAAGAUUACUCGGAGAGUUUCUUGUUCAAACCAACAAAAAGAAUAAGAUGCAUAAAUGCUCUAUUUGUGGUGUGGAGUUUUCUUUGGGUCAAGCCUUAGGAGGGCACAUGAGGCGUCAUCGCGAUGAAAUUAAUAAAACGUCGAGGAUGAUACCAGUGUUGACGAAGUCGAAUAGCAGCAAGAGGAUAUUUUGUCUGGACUUAAACUUAACCCCUCGUAAUGAUAAUGUUGAUUUCAAGUUAUGGCCGACCGCACCAAUUGCAUCUCCUGUUUUGAGAAUCUUUAUUUAAUUUGUUCAUUUUAGACAUUUUGCAUUCAUUUUUGUUGUAUAUAAUCCUUAAUUAGUUCGUUCAUUCCUUUACUUCAGUAACGUAAUAAAGUUUGAUUCAAUUAAAGUUUUGCAAAAUAAUUCUCACAAGUCAUAUCACCAAAAUAUAUAAUAAUGGACUAAUCCACACGAAAAUUGAAAAAAUUGCCUAAUUCAUAUAAAUUGAUCCCUAGAUGUCCAAAAAUGACUAUAAAAAUGAUGAUUACUACUCCCUCAAAAGGUUUUGCGAAAAUUAUCCGAAAGUCAUAUCACUAAAAUAUUCAUGGGCUAACACAUCGAAAAAUUGAGAAAAUCGCCUAAUUCCUCUAAAUUAGCCCCUAAAUUCCUAAAAAUCACUCUAAAAAUGGAGAAAUUGUAUGUACUGCUCCCCCAACUCCUUAUAGAUAGAGGGUUCCAUAAAGGUUUCAUAAAAAAAAUUCGGGAGGCCAUAUCACCAAUAUAUUCAUGAGCUAACACACACGAAAAACUUCGCUUAAUUCCUAUAAAUUGGCCCUAAAUGCCCAAAAAUCACUCUAAAAAUGGUGAGAUUGUAUGUACUGCUCCCCUAACUCCAUAUAGAGGGUUCCGUAAAGGUUUCACAAAAAAUUAGUCUAGAAGUCAUAGUGAUAUGAAUUUUGGACGAUUUGUUUGUGAAACCUUUAUGGAACCCUCUGUAGGGAGUUGGGGGAGCAGUACAUACAAUCUCACCAUUUUCGGAGUCCAUUUUGGGUAUUUAGAGGGCAAUUUACAGGAAUUAGGUGAUUUUCUCAAUUUUUCGUGUAUGUUAACCUAGGAAUAUUUAGGUGAUAUGGCUUCCGCCCCGAGGGACAAACAGACACAUUUUCAAAUUCAAACGAGCCCCAAAACGAGAAAACCAAAUUUUCUCAUUUUUCGUGUGCUAUUGUCCAUGAAUUUUUGGUGAUACGGAAUCCUGGCUUGUUUUUGGCCGAAUUUUUUCAUGAAUUUUCAUUAUGACCUUAUUAAUGGUGUGAGUUGGUCCCGAGGGGGAAACAAACGCAUUUUCAAGUUCAAAUGAGCCCCAAAGCAGGAAAAACCAAAAUUUACUAUUUUUCAUGUCCUAUCGUCCAUGGAUUUUUGGUGAGACGGGAUCCUAACUUGUUUUUGGCCGAGCUUUUUCAUGGACGUCCGUUGCGACCUUAUAAAUGGCGUCGUGAAUUGGUCCCGAGGGGAAAAAGAAGCAUUUUCAAGUUCAAACGAGCCUCAAAGGGGGGAAAACCUAUUUUUACCUUUUUCGUGUGCUAUAGUCCAUUAUAAAUUUUUGGUGAUAUGGGAUCCUAGCUUGGUUUUGGCCAAAAAUUUUCAUGGACGUACGUUACGACUUUAUUAAUGACGUGAGUUGGUCCCGAGGGGCAAAUAGACGCAUUUUCAAGUUCAACGAGCCCCAAAGCGGGAAAAACCAAAUUUUAUCAUUUUUCGUGUGCAAUAGUCCAUGAAUUUUUGGUGAUACUGGAUCCCGACUUGUUUUUGACCAAAAUUUUUCAUGGACGUCUGUUACGAACUUAUUAAUGGUGUGAGUUGGUCCCAAGGGGAAAACUGAUGCAUUUUCAAGUUCAAAAUUUUACCAUUUUUCGUGUGCUAUAGUCCAUGGAUUUUUGUUGAUACGUGAUCCGACUCUUUUUUAGGCCGAAAUUUUUCAUGGAAGUCUAUUACGACCUUAUUAAUGGCGUGAGAUGGUCUUGAGGGGUAAACGGACGCAUUUUCAAGUUCAAACGAGCCCCAAAGCGGUAAAAACUGAUUUUUACCGUUUUUCUUGUGCUAUAUAGUCCAUGGAUUUUUGGUGAUGGGUGAUCCUGACUUGUUUUUGGCCGAAAUUUUUCAUAGAUGUCCGUUACGACCUUAUUUAUGGCGUGAGUUGGUCCCGAAGGCAAACAUAUGCAUUUUCAACUUCAAACGAGCCUCAAUGCGGGAAAUAUCGAAUUUACCAUUUUUUGUGUGCUAUAGUCCAUGCAUUUUUAGUGAUAGGUGAUCCCGACUUGUUUUUGGCCGAAAUUUUUCAUGGACGUCUGUUACGACCUUAUUAAUAGCAUGAGUUGGUCUCGAGGGGCAAACAGAUGCAUUUUCAAAUUCAAACGAGUCCCAAGGCGGGAAAGACCGAAUUUACCAAUUUUUCUGUGUUAUAGUCCAUGGGUUUUGGUGAUACGUGAUCCCUAAUUUUUUUGGCCAAAUUUUUUCAUGGACGUCCGUUACGAUCUUAUUAAUGGUGUGAAUUGGUCCCGAGGGGUAAACAGACCAUUUUCAAGUUCAAAUGAGCCUCAAUGCGGGAAAGACUGAAUGUACCAUUUUUCGUGUGCUAUAAUCCAUGAACUUUUGGUGAUACGUGAUCCUGACUUGUUUUUGGCUUUAAAAACCAAAUGUAAGUCUCCCUUACCUUUUAAUUUUUGACUUAAAAAUCAUUGAAGUUUGACUUUUUAUUUUUUGAUUAUUUUUAGUCAAUCCAAACGAGCUCUUAUUUAUGAAAGUAACAGGAGGACGACGAAAAGGAACAGCCCACACUUAUUGAGAAUGAGAUGAUGAUAUCAAAUUGUCUUUUUUUUUAUAUUGUAAAACUUAAAUAAUAUAUUUUUAAAAUAUAAUUAAAUACAAUAUAACAAAUAUCAUUGCGUUCGUCACCAUCACCAACCUAAAAAAAAGUACUAUUACACUGUUGCUGCUAGUUAAUUAGUGCUAAUUAAAGAAUUAGCACUAAACCAUGUUGGUUGGUCUUUUGGUUUCAACUUGUGUGUUCCAAGUCACUGCUUUAAUCACCAAGAAAGUACAAUUUAUCCUUUUCAAAUGGCUACGCCAUGUGUUUUCCGCAGCCCCUGAUAAUGUCAAUCUUAAUACGUCGUUUUAAAUUAGAUGUAAUAUUUUAUAUUUCAAAAUUUAAGUUAUUUGAAUAUGAAUUGAUAUUGUAAAGUAUAUUUGUAAAAGAAAACCCACAAUUUUAUAUCUAUCUACCAUUUAUUUCAUACGUAAAUAAAAUUUAUAGUUGAUAAUAAUUAUUACUCUUACCAAUCUUUAAAACCAUUUAUGUCGGAUAUAAUCAUUAUUCUCACCAACCAAAUUUAUAGUUGAUAUUAUUAUUCUUACCAACUUUUAAAUCAUUUAUAAUAUUGGAUAUAACCAUUACCCUCACCAACCAAAUUUAAAAUUGAUAUUAUUAUUCUUACAACUUUUUAAACCAUUUACAUUGAGAAAUGGAUGCUCAAUUGUCCAUACUAUGUAGGAGAAUUAUAUUAAAGAGUAGUACAUUACAAUCCAUGUUCAAUUUUUUUUUUAUUAAGUUAAAGUUCGAUUAAUAAAUAUUGUAUUUUAUUUUUAAUUUUUUUUUAUGAUAGCGCAUUUUAUUUUUAUUAUAAUUUUUUGUUUAUUUACUAAGAUUGUAUAAAAAAUCGAAACAUUUUCUUUAAAAUACAAAUAUCUCGAUUCUUUAUACAAUCUUAACAAAUGAAUAAUUUUCUUAUUCCUUAACCGGAAAAAUAUGUGGCCAUGACAUGUGAGUAGUAGAACGUCUGCUCCUACUUGGAAGUGUUCUAGAAAGCUCAUAGAAGGCAACAUUACAUUACUUUUCCGCUCACAUGAAAUGACCUGAAAUAUUCCUUAUCCACAUGAUUGACUAACGCGUUACUACCUUCAAAUCAAUUGAUUCCUUUUCCACUUGUAAAGUACUACUUUCGGCGUCUAUUUUUAUUUGUCCGUUAUAUUAUUUUGAGAUAUUUUAAUAAUAUUUAUUCAGUUUAUAAAAUUAAUGAAUUUAUGUUUAAUAAGGGUGAUUUGGUAAAUUAUUUCUGUCAUUUACCAUUUCUAAUUAAUUCGUGUUUAAAAUCAAAUAGUAGACAAUUAUUGUUGAAUAGAUAAAGUAUCUCUAGUAUUUCUUUGACUCACUUAACCUAAAAGUCAAACAUUAUUAAUUGUCACUAAUUAAUAAAGAAUAAUGUGAUGCACGUUUUUUUCAAAAACACGUCAACCUUGUCUUAUCUCAUACCUAUAUAAAUUUGAAGCAAAGAGCAACCAAAUGUGUAUCAUAUUCUUCACUUCAAACUUCAAACUUUCACACAUUUCUUCAAACUUCAAAAACAACUUUGUGUCUUCAUUCUUGAUAAUAUGAGUGCCUUAAAAAGAAGCAGAGGAGAGGAUGUGCUAGUGGAAGCAGAGGCCAUGGCUAACUGCGCCUUAAUGCUUUUGUCUCGUUUCAACACCAACAACUCAUCAGAUCAUCAUCAUAUUAAUGAUUUUGAAUGCAAGACUUGCAAUAAACGCUUCCCGUCUUUCCAAGCCUUAGGCGGUCAUCGUGCAAGUCAUAAUAAAAAGCCAAGAUUACUCGGAGAGUUUCUUGUUCAAACCAACAAAAAGAACAAGAUGCAUAAAUGCUCUAUUU